CGGAAGACCAAGGGUUCCUGUCCAACGUUAAUCGGGGCAGGGUGAGUCGACCCCUAAGGCGAGGCCGAAAGGCGUAGUCGAUGGGAAACAGGUUAAUAUUCCUGUACUUGGUGUUACUGCGAAGGGGGGACGGAGAAGGCUAUGUUGGCCGGGCGACGGUUGUCCCGGUUUAAGCGUGUAGGCUGGUUUUCCAGGCAAAUCCGGAAAAUCAAGGCUGAGGCGUGAUGACGAGGCACUACGGUGCUGAAGCAACAAAUGCCCUGCUUCCAGGAAAAGCCUCUAAGCAUCAGGUAACAUUAAAUCGUACCCCAAACCGACACAGGUGGUCAGGUAGAGAAUACCAAGGCGCUUGAGAGAACUCGGGUGAAGGAACUAGGCAAAAUGGUGCCGUAACUUCGGGAGAAGGCACGCUGAUAUGUAGGUGAAGUCCCUCGCGGAUGGAGCUGAAAUCAGUCGAAGAUACCAGCUGGCUGCAACUGUUUAUUAAAAACACAGCACUGUGCAAACACGAAAGUGGACGUAUACGGUGUGACGCCUGCCCGGUGCCGGAAGGUUAAUUGAUGGGGUUAGCGGUAACGCGAAGCUCUUGAUCGAAGCCCCGGUAAACGGCGGCCGUAACUAUAACGGUCCUAAGGUAGCGAAAUUCCUUGUCGGGUAAGUUCCGACCUGCACGAAUGGCGUAAUGAUGGCCAGGCUGUCUCCACCCGAGACUCAGUGAAAUUGAACUCGCUGUGAAGAUGCAGUGUACCCGCGGCAAGACGGAAAGACCCCGUGAACCUUUACUAUAGCUUGACACUGAACAUUGAGCCUUGAUGUGUAGGAUAGGUGGGAGGCUUUGAAGUGUGGACGCCAGUCUGCAUGGAGCCGACCUUGAAAUACCACCCUUUAAUGUUUGAUGUUCUAACGUUGACCCGUAAUCCGGGUUGCGGACAGUGUCUGGUGGGUAGUUUGACUGGGGCGGUCUCCUCCUAAAGAGUAACGGAGGAGCACGAAGGUUGGCUAAUCCUGGUCGGACAUCAGGAGGUUAGUGCAAUGGCAUAAGCCAGCUUGACUGCGAGCGUGACGGCGCGAGCAGGUGCGAAAGCAGGUCAUAGUGAUCCGGUGGUUCUGAAUGGAAGGGCCAUCGCUCAACGGAUAAAAGGUACUCCGGGGAUAACAGGCUGAUACCGCCCAAGAGUUCAUAUCGACGGCGGUGUUUGGCACCUCGAUGUCGGCUCAUCACAUCCUGGGGCUGAAGUAGGUCCCAAGGGUAUGGCUGUUCGCCAUUUAAAGUGGUACGCGAGCUGGGUUUAGAACGUCGUGAGACAGUUCGGUCCCUAUCUGCCGUGGGCGCUGGAGAACUGAGGGGGGCUGCUCCUAGUACGAGAGGACCGGAGUGGACGCAUCACUGGUGUUCGGGUUGUCAUGCCAAUGGCACUGCCCGGUAGCUAAAUGCGGAAGAGAUAAGUGCUGAAAGCAUCUAAGCACGAAACUUGCC
RNAcentral lists this ribosomal RNA (1477 nucleotides) under Escherichia coli. RNAcentral's name for it is "partial 23S ribosomal RNA". It matches the Rfam family "Bacterial large subunit ribosomal RNA", at positions 1338 to 2798 of the family's 2925-position model. The record is from RNAcentral. Lineage: Bacteria; Pseudomonadati; Pseudomonadota; Gammaproteobacteria; Enterobacterales; Enterobacteriaceae.